AGGAAUCAACUUACUACUCUUGUGGUCAGGCCCAAAUGAGCCAUGGAAUGUGAUUAGACUGUUCGAGGCCCAUAAGGAGCCCGUGAAUUCGGUGGGUCGCCGCAAUGCGAGUUGGGCUCGAUUCAAGCACCAGGUGCAACUCGGAAAUCCUAUCCAUCUUCCGGAAGGUGGAUAGGCUCUUAACCUUCCAAUCUUUAAGAUUCGUGCGGCUGCUCUCAACCGCACGAUCUUCUUUCCCCUUCUUUAUGUCGCCUCCCCGCCUCUCUCUCUC
Molecule: long non-coding RNA, 271 nt
Filed under: Setaria italica (foxtail millet)
Lineage: Eukaryota; Viridiplantae; Streptophyta; Magnoliopsida; Poales; Poaceae
Description: long non-coding RNA (SITA_LNC005405)
Source: RNAcentral